GCGGGUCGCGUGGGGGUCACCCGGCCGCUGCUGCGGUCCGGACGGCAGUUGGUCCAGUAGUUUCGGAUGCCCGGGCUAGGCUCGGCGGAGAGCGAGUCGGCGUGAAUGAGAGCAAACCAACAGGGCUGUGCGUGGCGCGUAAAGAAGUGUUGAAGAAGAGAGAGACAGAAGAAAAUCACCAUAAAAAGUCAGACACGAGAGCUUAGAAGUCAAUUAAGACAGGGCUUGGAAGGGG
Molecule: long non-coding RNA, 235 nt
Filed under: Homo sapiens (human)
Lineage: Eukaryota; Metazoa; Chordata; Mammalia; Primates; Hominidae
Description: non-protein coding HDAC2-AS2:116
Source: RNAcentral